GAUGAACGCUAGCUACAGGGCUUAAACACAUGCAAGUCGAGGGGAAACGACAUCGGAAAGCUUGUCUUUUGGUGGGCGUCGACCGGCGCACGGGUGAGUAACGCGUAUCCAACCUGCCCAUCACUUGGGAUAACCUUGCGAAAGUAAGACUAAUACCCAAUGACGUCUCUAGAAGACAUCUGAAAGAGAUUAAAGAUUUAUCGGUGAUGGAUGGGGAUGCGUCUGAUUAGCUUGUUGGCGGGGUAACGGCCCACCAAGGCGACGAUGGGUAGGGGUUCUGAGAGGAAGGUCCCCCACAUUGGAACUGAGACACGGUCCAAACUCCUACGGGAGGCAGCAGUGAGGAAUAUUGGUCAAUGGGCGAGAGCCUGAACCAGCCAAGUAGCGUGUGGGACGAAUGCCCUAUGGGUUGUAAACUGCUUUUAUAAGGGAAUAAAGUUAGUCUCGUGAGACUUUUUGCAUGUACCUUAUGAAUAAGGACCGGCUAAUUCCGUG
This 495-nucleotide ribosomal RNA is filed under the name uncultured bacterium. RNAcentral's name for it is "bacterial SSU rRNA". It matches the Rfam family "Bacterial small subunit ribosomal RNA", at positions 28 to 507 of the family's 1533-position model. The record is from RNAcentral.